GUAGGGUGCGAGCGCUAAUCGGAAUUACUGGGCGUAAAGCGUGCGCAGGCGGUUUUGUAAGCCAGAUGUGAAAGCCCCCGGGCUUAACCUGGGAAUGGCAUUUGGGACUGCAAGGCUUGAGUGCGGCAGAGGAGACUGGAAUUCCUGGUGUAGCAGUGAAAUGCGUAGAUAUCAGGAGGAAUACCGAUGGCGAAGGCAGGUCUCUGGGCUGACACUGACGCUCAUGCACGAAAGCGUGGGGAGCAAACAGGAUUAGAUACCCUGGUAGUCCACGCCCUAAACGAUGUCGACUGGUUGUUGGGGGUUUGACACUCUCAGUAACGAAGCUAACGCGUGAAGUCGACCGCCUGGGGAGUACGGCCGCAAGGUUA
Molecule: ribosomal RNA, 371 nt
Filed under: uncultured bacterium
Lineage: Bacteria
Description: bacterial SSU rRNA
Rfam family: Bacterial small subunit ribosomal RNA
Source: RNAcentral